GGAGGGGGUCUGUACCGGGAGGUCUGUCAUGUAGACCUACAGACUGAAGAGAGGAUGGUGAAGGUCUGUCAUGUAGACCUACAGACUGAAGAGAGGAUAGUGAAGGAGGUCUGUCAUGUAGACCUACAGACUGAAGAGAGGAUGGUGAAGGAGGUCUGUCAUGUAGACCUACAGACUGAAGAGAGGAUGGUGAAGGAGGUUUGUCAUGUAGACCAACAGACUGACUGUCUCCUGAGUUGUCUGGAGGCCAAGUCUGUCCAGACGUCGCCUAUGGAGGAAAGCUAUAAGUUUAAAGUGCCUUUACCGGACCAGAUGCCACCCUUGUUUGUGAACGAGGCUGGAGGAGAGUCCUCUUUGUCUUCCUCCUGUCCCCUGAAACUCCCCCCAGAACUGGCCCUGUCCCUACCCAUACCCUUCUCCCCCAAGGUCGCACCAGCAUUUGUCUGUACGUGCCAACAGCAGCAGAGUGGCAUUAAACCUCCCCCACCACCUCCUUUACCUGGUCACUCCAUGGCUCCUCCUCCACCACCACCUCUACCAGGGGGUGCAAUGCCCCCACCACCUCCACCACCACCUCUACCAGGGGGU
Long non-coding RNA from Oncorhynchus tshawytscha (Chinook salmon), 588 nucleotides. RefSeq lists it as uncharacterized. The record is from RefSeq and is a predicted model, not a curated record. The transcript is spliced from 3 exons. NCBI's taxonomy places the organism in Eukaryota, Metazoa, Chordata, Actinopteri, Salmoniformes, Salmonidae.